Long non-coding RNA from Oncorhynchus mykiss (rainbow trout), 4066 nucleotides. The record is from Ensembl. NCBI's taxonomy places the organism in Eukaryota, Metazoa, Chordata, Actinopteri, Salmoniformes, Salmonidae.
AUGCCGGCUCUCUGUUUUUUGUUUAUUUUUUAUGCGGGUCUUCGCAACCACACACAUCUCUCAGCACUCUCAUCAACACACCACCUGCUUCACUCUCUCAGUACUCUCAUCAACACACCACCUGCUUCACUCUCUCAGUACUCUCAUCAACACACCACCUGCUUCACUCUCUCAGCACUCUCAUCAACACACCACCUGCUUCACUCUCUCAGCACUCUCAUCAACACACCACCUGCUUCACUCUCUCAGUACUCUCAUCAACACACCACCUGCUUCACUCUCUCAGCACUCUCAUCAACACACCACCUGCUUCACUCUCUCAGCACUCUCAUCAACACACAACCUGCUUCACUCUCUCAGUACUCUCAUCAACACACCACCUGCUUCACUCUCUCAGUACUCUCAUCAACACACCACCUGCUUCACUCUCUCAGCACUCUCAUCAACACACAACCUGCUUCACUCUCUCAGCACUCAUCAACACACCACCUGCUUCACUCUCUCAGUACUCUCAUCAACACACCACCUGCUUCACUCUCUCAGUACUCUCAUCAACACACCACCUGCUUCACUCUCUCAGUACUCUCAUCAACACACCACCUGCUUCACUCUCUCAGUACUCUCAUCAACACACCACCUGCUUCACUCUCUCAGCACUCUCAUCAACACACCACCUGCUUCACUCUCUCAGCACUCUCAUCAACACACAACCUGCUUCACUCUCUCAGCACUCUCAUCAACACACCACCUGCUUCACUCUCUCAGCACUCUCAUCAACACACAACCUGCUUCACUCUCUCAGCACUCUCAUCAACACACCACCUGCUUCACUCUCUCAGCACUCUCAUCAACACACCACCUGCUUCACUCUCUCAGCACUCAUCAACACACCACCUGCUUCACUCUCUCAGUACUCUCAUCAACACACCACCUGCUUCACUCUCUCAGUACUCUCAUCAACACACCACCUGCUUCACUCUCUCAGCACUCUCAUCAACACACCACCUGCUUCACUCUCUCAGCACUCAUCAACACACCACCUGCUUCACUCUCUCAGCACUCUCAUCAACACACCACCUGCUUCACUCUCUCAGCACUCUCAUCAACACACCACCUGCUUCACUCUCUCAGUACUCUCAUCAACACACCACCUGCUUCACUCUCUCAGCACUCUCAUCAACACACCACCUGCUUCACUCUCUCAGCACUCUCAUCAACACACCACCUGCUUCACUCUCUCAGCACUCUCAUCAACACACCACCUGCUUCACUCUCUCAGUACUCUCAUCAACACACCACCUGCUUCACUCUCUCAGUACUCUCAUCAACACACCACCUGCUUCACUCUCUCAGUACUCUCAUCAACACACCACCUGCUUCACUCUCUCAGUACUCUCAUCAACACACCACCUGCUUCACUCUCUCAGUACUCUCAUCAACACACCACCUGCUUCACUCUCUCAGCACUCUCAUCAACACACCACCUGCUUAACUCUCUCAGCACUCUCAUCAACACACCACCUGCUUCACUCUCUCAGUACUCUCAUCAACACACCACCUGCUUCACUCUCUCAGUACUCUCAUCAACACACCACCUGCUUCACUCUCUCAGUACUCUCAUCAACACACCACCUGCUUCACUCUCUCAGUACUCUCAUCAACACACCACCUGCUUCACUCUCUCAGUACUCUCAUCAACACACCACCUGCUUCACUCUCUCAGUACUCUCAUCAACACACCACCUGCUUCACUCUCUCAGUACUCUCAUCAACACACCACCUGCUUCACUCUCUCAGUACUCUCAUCAACACACCACCUGCUUCACUCUCUCAGUACUCUCAUCAACACACCACCUGCUUCACUCUCUCAGUACUCUCAUCAACACACCACCUGCUUCACUCUCUCAGUACUCUCAUCAACACACCACCUGCUUCACUCUCUCAGCACUCUCAUCAACACACCACCUGCUUCACUCUCAGUACUCUCAUCAACACACCACCUGCUUCACUCUCUCAGUACUCUCAUCAACACACCACCUGCUUCACUCUCUCAGUACUCUCAUCAACACACCACCUGCUUCACUCUCUCAGUACUAUCAUCAACACACCACCUGCUUCACACUCUCAGUACUCUCAUCAACACACCACCUGCUUCACACUCUCUCUCUGUACUAUCAUCAACACACCACCUGCUUCACGCUCUCUCUCAGUACUAUCAUCAACACACCACCUGCUUCACUCUAUCAACAACUAUAGAUUUUUGGGCUCAUGCAUUAUUUCCAAGCUGCUGAAAUAAAUAUACUAAAAUAUAUAUUUUUCAUAUCUUAAAAAAAAGAAACUGUUUUAGUGUGGGGGAAAAUAACCAGGUUCUAUUUUGUAUUAGUGUAUUUAAUAUCAGACAUUACUGUAGUGUGAUUGUGUAUAGGUAUCCACCCUCCGUUAUCUGAUUUGACAUUUUCUUGUGAGUGAAAUAUUGAGGACUCUUGCUGCUGAUUGGGUCUGAGAAGGAAAGAGGGCUGGCCCAGGGCUGUUGCUAUGGGAAUUGUCCCAGCAACCACUAGCCGUAGUGGAAACGGAACAAAAUGGAGGGUGGUUGGGACAGAGCGGACGUCGCUGCGUUCUGGUUUCAACUUUAAAACAUGAGCACAGGUGCUUCAUGACAAACCUUACUAGCAUGUUUGGCUGUAUCAUGUUUCUUUGGCACUGUAUUUUGAAUGACCGUUUUAAUUUAUUAAAAAAAACAUACCAAAACUACUCGUUGUUUUCACAUUUAUGGAAUGAAUGUGUUUUUGUUGAUUUUCAGUACACUUGAUUUGUCACAAUGUAUUUGUUUAUACGAGUCAACUCACAGUACAGCACAGCACAGUACAGUACAGUACAAUUCCUUACAAUUCCUUAUACCUUACCAGCAUUAGUUACUGAGCGUGUUGUUGAGUCGACGUUAAGUGUGUGGGUAAAACAGAAUUUGGUUUUAUGUUAAUAUAAAAUGUUUAGUUUGAUCGAGAUGGUGUCGGACAACCUAUAGACAGACCGGUUAUGCCUGCUGUCUGAACUUAUUUUUUUCCCUUCCCAUAAUUGUGUUGACACUGACAUUCACCCAGGCAGGUCUUGCAGGUUUUUGCUCAAACCCUAAUCUAGAGCACCUGAUUCUAAUUAGGAGGUUGACCGAUUAAACUGAAUGGCCGAUUAAUUAGGGCCGAGUUCAAGUUUUCAUAACAAUCGGAAAUCGGUAUUAUAAUUUUUUUACAUUUAUUUGUAAUUUUUUAAAUGCCUUUUUUAUUUAACUAGGCAAGUCAGUUAAGAACACAUUCUUAUGUUCAAUGACGGCCUAGGAACGGCGGGUUAACUGCCUUGUUCAGGGGCAGAAAGACAGAUUUUCACCUUGUCAGCUCGGGGUAACCAAUCUUGCAACCUUACGGUUAACAAAGUCCAACGCUCUGAUCCACCUGCCUCUCAUUGCACUCCACGAGGAGACUGCCUGUUAUGCGAAUGCAGUAGAAGCCAAGGUAAGUUGCCAGCAAGCAUUAAACUUAUCUUAUAUAAAUCAAUCAUAAUCACUAGUUAUAACUACACAUGGUUGAUGAUAUGACUUGUUUAUCUAGCGUGUCCUGCGUUGCAUGUAAUCGAUGCAACGCUGGGGCAUGAUUUAACAAAAGCGCAUUUCCGAAAAAAGCACAAUCGUUGCACGACAAACUGAAAAAUUGGUGAAGGUGGCGCUACAAAGUAUUAACUUAAGGGGGCUGAAUAAUUUUGCACGCCCAAUUUUUCAGUUUUUGAUUUGUUAAAAAAGUUUGAAAUAUCCAAUAAAUGUCGUUCCACUUCAUGAUUGUGUCCCACUUGUUGUUGAUUCUUCACAAAAAAAAUACAGUUUUAUAUCUUUAUGUUUGAAGCCUGAAAUGUGGCAAAAGGUCGCAAAGUUCAAGGGGGCCGAAUACUUUCGCAAGGCACUGUAUAUACAGUAUAUAUUUUAAAGUGGAUAAUCCUUCAAAUUAGUGGAUUCGGUUAAUUCAGCCACACACGUGACGGACAGGUUUAUGCAGUCGAGCACACCGCCAUGCAAUCUCUA